UUGAAUAGUAUAGUUAUAACUAAGGAUAACUGAUAUCACAACGUUGCCUAGGCAACUUGUGGGUACAUUGAGGAAGAAUCUUCUUCUAAUUCUAAAUUCAACAUGCAAAUCUUUGCAAAUAAGAACCAAAAUUUUGAAGAAAAUAUUUGUGACAAAUUUCCAUGCGAAAACCAUUUCUCCACCAUUAAGUAAUAAAAUGGUAAACUAAAUCAUGGCACAACCGUGACAUAUAUCAAUAACUGUGACACAGAACAUUUUAAAUAACUGAGGCGGGGACAUGGGGUCAGAUGUGUAGUGAGUUCAAAGGUGGAGGUGGGUUCAAGGGCGAAGGAUUGGUCAAGGCUAAAGGUGUGGUGAAGGGUGGAGAUGUGAUCAAGGGUAGAGAGGGGUGAAGGGCAGAGGUGUGGUCAAGUUUGGUGGUGUACUCAAGGGUGGGCGACAGAAGGAGGUGUGGUUGAGGGUGGACAUGGGAUCAUGGGUGAAGGUGUGGUCAAGGAUGGAGGUGGGGUCAGGGGUGGCCUUGCGGUCAAGGAUGGAGAUGAGGUCAAGGGUAGAGUGGGGUCAAGGACGGAGGUGGAGUCAAGAAUGGUCAAGGCUGCAGGUGGAGUGGUCUAUGGAAGUAAAACAAAACAAACAUACAGUUAAACACUCCCUAGACAUGCUAAAUACAAUUGCAUCAUGUUGAGUUUUUUCAUAAUAACACUACAGAACUCUAACAUGAAAACACACAACUAAACAAAUGUACAGUCAUAAUGUUAACUGAUAUAUUGAGACAAUACAGCAGGUCAAAAUGCCGUAUUGUGCAAUAUUUUGGGGUCUGGAGCUGGUGGUGUUGAGGAUGACAGAGAGAUGCUUGUGUUGACACAAAGGUGUACAGCAGGGUAAAGCCUCCAUCUGAUCCGGAGUAUGCGUCAAUACUAUGGGGCAUGGAGAAGAUGGUAGUGAGGGUGACAGAGGGAGAUGCUUGUGUUGACACAAAGGUGUACAGCAGGUUAAAGCCUCACUGCAUCUGACCCGGAGUAUGCGUCAAUACUAUGGGGGAUGGAGAAGACGGUAGUGAGGAUGACAGAGGGAGAUGCUUGUGUUGACACAAAGGGGUACAGCAGGGUAAAGCCUCCAUCUGAUCCGGAGUAUGCGUCAAUACUAUGGGGCAUGGAGAAGAUGGUAGUGAGGGUGACAGAGGGAGAUGCUUGUGUUGACACAAAGGUGUACAGCAGGUUAAAGCCUCACUCCAUCUGACCCGGAGUAUGCUUCAA
This is a long non-coding RNA of Haliotis rubra (blacklip abalone), 1256 nucleotides long. RefSeq lists it as uncharacterized. The record is from RefSeq and is a predicted model, not a curated record. The transcript is spliced from 3 exons. Lineage: Eukaryota; Metazoa; Mollusca; Gastropoda; Lepetellida; Haliotidae.